CCUACGGGUGGCAGCAGUGAGGAAUAUUGGUCAAUGGGCUUACGCCUGAACCAGCCAAGUCGCGUGAGUGAAGACUGCCCUAUGGGUUGUAAACCUCUUUUGUCAGGGAGCAAUUGUCGCUACGUGUAGCGUUCUCGAGAGUACCUGAAGACCAAGCAUCGGCUAACUCCGUUCCAGCAGCCGCGUUAAUCCGGAGGAUGCGAGCGUUAUCCGGAUUUAUUGGGUUUAAAGGGUGCGUAGGCGGAAUGCCAAGUCAGCGGUAAAAUCGCGGGGCUCAACCUCGCUCCGCCGUUGAAACUGGGGGUCUGGAGUGGGCGAGAAGUAGGCGGAAUGCGUGGUGUAGCGGUGAAAUGCAUAGAUAUCACGCAGAACUCCGAUUGCGAAGGCAGCAUACCGGAGCCCAACUGACGCUGAAGCACGAAAGCGUGGGUAUCGAACAGGAUUAGAUACCCCGGUAGUC
This 460-nucleotide ribosomal RNA is filed under the name uncultured bacterium. RNAcentral describes it as "partial 16S ribosomal RNA". It matches the Rfam family "Bacterial small subunit ribosomal RNA", at positions 338 to 795 of the family's 1533-position model. The record is from RNAcentral.